ACAGUCACGUGGCUCCCACCAUGCCCCGCGGCAAAUCAGCAGCAGCUGCUGUGCACCUCUGCACCAGGGGGCACCACCCGGUGGGAAACGAGACUCCCAUGAGCCUUUGCUGCAGGAGCCAUUUGGGGGGGCACAUGACUGCCUCGGCGCUCUGUGGUGUGCCCUAUGUUGGAAGUCACGCGGCUCUCAGGAUGCCCUGUGGCCUGCAAGGGAGGCGCUUCCUCAGCCCCCACGCCAGGGAGGGCCCGGCUUGAGGUCACUUGACCCCCGUGAGGCCCCACAGCCAAUCCGGAGCAGUGCAUGUGAUGCCCUAAAGGGGGCGCCAUGGCAGCAGCCACUGGGCCCUCUUGGGGACCCCCUCCUCUGGAUGCUGCGAUGCCACCGCCGGGCCGUAAGGGGACACCUUCGGGCCAUUGAGACCCUCCUGGAAUGCCCACCUGAGCACCCCCAACCCAUGGUGGGGCCAAUAAAACAAUGACACCUCAAGAUUGUACCAGGGAGCUGGGGAGACUCCCAAAACUCCCUCCCUUACCUCCCCCACCUUUGGGACUGCCCCAAAUCCCCUCUCCCCCCAAAUGUCCCCAAGAGCAUUUGGAGGGUUCUGGGGGCUCCAAAGCGGCUGUUGGUGGGGUGCUGGGUGUCUCUAGGGUGUCCGUGAGGGUCUGUGGGGUGUUUGGAGGGGCUCUGAGGCUGAGGAAGGGAUUUGGGGGU
Agelaius phoeniceus (red-winged blackbird) is the source of this 711-nucleotide non-coding RNA. The record is from RefSeq and is a predicted model, not a curated record. Lineage: Eukaryota; Metazoa; Chordata; Aves; Passeriformes; Icteridae.